RNAcentral lists this ribosomal RNA (468 nucleotides) under uncultured bacterium. Its description in RNAcentral is "partial 16S ribosomal RNA". It matches the Rfam family "Bacterial small subunit ribosomal RNA", at positions 28 to 507 of the family's 1533-position model. The record is from RNAcentral.
GACGAACGCUGGCGGCGUGCUUAACACAUGCAAGUCGAACGGAAAGGCCCUGCUUUUGUGGGGUGCCCGAGUGCCGAAUGGGUGAGUAACACGUGAGCAACCUACCCUUGUUUUUGGGAGAACUUCAGGUAAUUGGGGUUAUUACCGUAUAGGACCUCCUCCUGGAGGGUGGGGGUUGGAUAGUUCGGGCGUGUGGGGAUGGACUCGCGGCUUACCAGCUUGUUGGUGGGUGAGUGGCUUACCAAGGCAUGGACGGCUAGCCGGCCUGGGAGGGGGACCGGCCACAUUGGGCCUGAGAUAGGGCCCAGAGUCCAACGGGGGGCAGCGGGGGGAAAUAUGGCACAAGGGGCCGAAGCCGGUGGAGGCAACCCCGGGUGCGGAAUGACGGCCUUCGGGUUGUAAACCGCUUUAGCCUGUGACGAAGCGUGUGUGACGGUAAUGGGUGAAGAAGCACCGGCUAACUACGUG